Pelobates cultripes (western spadefoot toad) is the source of this 159-nucleotide non-coding RNA. The record is from the annotation of a GenBank genome assembly. NCBI's taxonomy places the organism in Eukaryota, Metazoa, Chordata, Amphibia, Anura, Pelobatidae.
GCAGACACAUUCCAGCCAAUCAGCAGCAGACCCUCCCUUCCAGACCCUCCCACCUCCUGGACAGCUCACUAAGAAUGCAGCUUCACAAAAUGGAUGCUGUCCAGGAGGUGGGAGGGUCUGGGAGGGAGGGUCUGCUGCUGAUUGGCUGGAAUGUGUCUG